UUGUGGAGGAGGACGCCGAAGGUGGGGCUAAUGACUGGGGUGAAGUCGUAACAAGGUAGCCGUACCGGAAGGUGCGGCUGGAUCACCUCCUAACAGGGAGACAACAAAAUGUUUAAUAUUAUUAUUUUGUCACCUUAGGUCGAUCGGUAUCUCACGUUCUUAAUUUAUUAAGGAUUUUAUUUCCUAAGUUUUUUUCUAGGUCACACCCAUUACUUUUCCUGGGCCAUUAGCUCAGGUGGUUAGAGCGCACCCCUGAUAAGGGUGAGGUCCCUGGUUCAAGUCCAGGAUGGCCCAUAUCUCUAUGUUGGGGGUAUAGCUCAGUUGGUAGAGCGCCUGCUUUGCAAGCAGGAUGUCAGCGGUUCGAGUCCGCUUACCUCCACUGAUUACCACCUCUUCCAUAAUUUUAUUAAGGGAAUGUUUUGAGUAGUGAUCAACUUCUGAACGAAUCUAGCUUCCUAAUGAAAUAAUUAAGAUGCUGGAUUCAUUGAAUUAAUUUCAUUGUUUUCAGAGAACCUUGACAACUGCAUAGAUUUUUUUAAAGACAAUAAGCAUCUUUAUGAUGCAGAUUUAUUAUUUGUGCGAAUGCAUUAAUAACAAUUCUAUUAAGCUGAUGCUUCAAUUAUGAAGUUAUUGGUCAAGCUACAA
This 645-nucleotide unclassified non-coding RNA is filed under the name uncultured Prochlorococcus sp. Its description in RNAcentral is "partial 16S-23S ribosomal RNA intergenic spacer; may also contain 16S ribosomal RNA and 23S ribosomal RNA". The stretch from base 307 to 379 matches the Rfam family "tRNA". Lineage: Bacteria; Bacillati; Cyanobacteriota; Cyanophyceae; Synechococcales; Prochlorococcaceae. The record is from RNAcentral.